UUGAAGGCGAUGAUGUUGAAAACUACCUAUUUUAUGAAUGGUUAUUUAGCCAUUUUUUUGUGAUUAAAAAUCACCAAUGGAUCCUUCUGAGCCUUCU
Molecule: small nucleolar RNA, 97 nt
Organism: Gossypium arboreum
Lineage: Eukaryota; Viridiplantae; Streptophyta; Magnoliopsida; Malvales; Malvaceae
Source: Rfam